Molecule: ribosomal RNA, 483 nt
Filed under: uncultured bacterium
Lineage: Bacteria
Description: bacterial SSU rRNA
Rfam family: Bacterial small subunit ribosomal RNA
Source: RNAcentral
AACUACGUGCCAGCAGCCGCGGUAAUACGUAGGGGGCGAGCGUUAUCCGGAAUUAUUGGGCGUAAAGGGUUCGCAGGUGGUCUAAUAAGUCAGGUGUGAAAGGCAGUGGCUCAACCAUUGUAAGCACUUGCAACUGUUAGACUUGAGUACAGGAGAGGAAAGCGGAAUUCCUAGUGUAGCGGUGAAAUGCGUAGAUAUUAGGAGGAACACCAGUGGCGAAGGCGGCUUUCUGGACUGUAACUGACACUGAGGAACGAAAGCGUGGGGAGCAAACAGGAUUAGAUACCCUGGUAGUCCACGCCGUAAACGAUGAGUGCUAGGUGUUGGGGGUCGAACCUCAGUGCCGCAGCUAACGCAUUAAGCACUCCGCCUGGGGAGUACGGUCGCAAGACUAAAACUCAAAGGAAUUGACGGGGACCCGCACAAGCAGCGGAGCAUGUGGUUUAAUUCGAAGCAACGCGAAGAACCUUACCAGCUCUUGAC